AAUGUUGGGUUAAGUCCCGCAACGAGCGCAACCCUUAUCCUUUGUUGCCAGCGGUCCGGCCGGGAACUCAAAGGAGACUGCCAGUGAUAAACUGGAGGAAGGUGGGGAUGACGUCAAGUCAUCAUGGCCCUUACGACCAGGGCUACACACGUGCUACAAUGGCGCAUACAAAGAGAAGCGACCUCGCGAGAGCAAGCGGACCUCAUAAAGUGCGUCGUAGUC
RNAcentral lists this ribosomal RNA (222 nucleotides) under Escherichia coli. RNAcentral describes it as "partial 16S ribosomal RNA". It matches the Rfam family "Bacterial small subunit ribosomal RNA", at positions 1071 to 1293 of the family's 1533-position model. Lineage: Bacteria; Pseudomonadati; Pseudomonadota; Gammaproteobacteria; Enterobacterales; Enterobacteriaceae. The record is from RNAcentral.